AGGUGCUGCAUGGCUGUCGUCAGCUCGUGUCGUGAGAUGUUCGUUAGUCCGCUAACGAGCGCAACCCUCGCUGUGUGUUACAAGUGUCACACGGAACUGCCGGUCAUAAACCGGAGGAAGGUGGGGAUGACGUCAAGUCAGCAUGGCCUUUAUAUCCUGGGCUACACACACGCUACAAUGGGAAGGGACAAUAGGUUGCGAAGCCGCGAGGCGGAGCCAAUCCAGCAAAACUUCCCUCAGUUCAGAUUGCAGGCUGCAACUCGCCUGCAUGAAGUUGGAGUUGCUAGUAAACGCAGGUCAGCCAUACUGCGUUGAAUACGUUCCCGGGGCUU
Molecule: ribosomal RNA, 332 nt
Filed under: uncultured Anaerolineaceae bacterium
Lineage: Bacteria; Bacillati; Chloroflexota; Anaerolineae; Anaerolineales; Anaerolineaceae
Description: bacterial SSU rRNA
Rfam family: Bacterial small subunit ribosomal RNA
Source: RNAcentral